This 449-nucleotide ribosomal RNA is filed under the name uncultured bacterium. Its description in RNAcentral is "bacterial SSU rRNA". It matches the Rfam family "Bacterial small subunit ribosomal RNA", at positions 28 to 473 of the family's 1533-position model. The record is from RNAcentral.
GAUGAACGCUGGCGGCGUGCCUAAUACAUGCAAGUCGAACGCACAGCGAAAGGUGCUUGCACCUUUCAAGUGAGUGGCGAACGGGUGAGUAACACGUGGAUAACCUACCUCAAGGUUGGGGAUAACAUUUGGAAACAGAUGCUAAUACCGAAUAAAACUUAGUAUCGCAUGAUACCAGGUUAAAAGGCGCUACGGCGUCACCUAGAGAUGGAUCCGCGGUGCAUUAGUUAGUUGGUGGGUAAAGGCUUACCAAGACAAUGAUGCAUAGCCGAGUUGAGAGACUGAUCGGCCACAUUGGGACUGAGACACGGCCCAAACUCCUACGGGAGGCUGCAGUAGGGAAUCUUCCACAAUGGGCGAAAGCCUGAUGGAGCAACGCGCGUGUGUGAUGAAGGCUUUCGGGUCGUAAAGCACUGUUGUAUGGAAGAACAGCUAGAGUAGGGAAUGAC